GCUUGAGAGCAAUGUUGGCAUCUUGGGUGCUGUAAUUACAUUGAUAGCCUAAGGGUAAUAAUAAUGACCUACUUCAUUAUUUUAACUAUGAUAUAAUAAUUACUCAUCUCUUGCUUCAUGUAUGAGGUUGGAUUCACCAUGAAAAACAGAACAGAGUCAUAGUAGCAGCGACAAUAAUACAACAUUAAAAUAUUUCUGUUGCAAUUUUGUUCUUUUUGAUUCACGUUUAAAGAGUGACUAUUACAGACAUAUCAGUUGCUCAUGUUAUUGAAUAUUCCUUCAUAUGAUAAGUUCAGUUAUUUCAACCAUGCCUUAGUUUCUUAAACUCACCUUGUUUUGUU
RNAcentral lists this unclassified non-coding RNA (341 nucleotides) under Hevea brasiliensis (rubber tree). The record is from RNAcentral. Lineage: Eukaryota; Viridiplantae; Streptophyta; Magnoliopsida; Malpighiales; Euphorbiaceae.